RNAcentral lists this ribosomal RNA (119 nucleotides) under Pteropus alecto (black flying fox). Lineage: Eukaryota; Metazoa; Chordata; Mammalia; Chiroptera; Pteropodidae. The record is from RNAcentral.
AUCUAUGGCCAUGCCACCCUGAACAAGCCCAAUCCCGUCUGAUCUCGGAAGCUAAGCAGAGUUGGACCUGGUUAGUACUUGGAUGGGAGACCAUCUAGGAAGACCAGGUGCUGUAGGCA